This 499-nucleotide ribosomal RNA is filed under the name uncultured bacterium. RNAcentral's name for it is "partial 16S ribosomal RNA". It matches the Rfam family "Bacterial small subunit ribosomal RNA", at positions 28 to 507 of the family's 1533-position model. The record is from RNAcentral.
GACGAACGCUGGCGGCGUGCCUAAUACAUGCAAGUCGAGCGAAGUUUUUCCGGUGCUUGCACCGGAAAAACUUAGCGGCGAACGGGUGAGUAACACGUAAAGAACCUGCCUCAUAGACUGGGACAACUAUUGGAAACGAUAGCUAAUACCGGAUAAUAGCAUUAACUGCAUGGUUGAUGUUUAAAAGUUGGUUUUGCUAACACUAUGAGAUGGCUUUGCGGUGCAUUAGCUAGUUGGUGGGGUAAAGGCCUACCAAGGCGACGAUGCAUAGCCGACCUGAGAGGGUGAUCGGCCACACUGGGACUGAGACACGGCCCAGACUCCUACGGGAGGCAGCAGUAGGGAAUCUUCCGCAAUGGGCGAAAGCCUGACGGAGCAACGCCGCGUGAGUGAAGAAGGAUUUCGGUUCGUAAAGCUCUGUUGUUAGGGAAGAAUGAUUGUGUAGUAACUAUACACAGUAGAGACGGUACCUAACCAGAAAGCCACGGCUAACUACGUG